GACGAACGCUGGCGGCGUGCUUAACACAUGCAAGUCGAACGGAAAGGCCCUGCUUUUGUUGGGUGCUCGAGUGGCGAACGGGUGAGUAACACGUGAGUAACCUGCCCUUGACUUUGGGAUAACUUCAGGAAACUGGGGCUAAUACCGGAUAGGAGCUCCUGCUGCAUGGUGGGGGUUGGAAAGUUUCGGCUGUUGGGGAUGGACUCGCGGCUUAUCAGCUUGUUGGUGGGGUAGUGGCUUACCAAGGCUUUGACGGGUAGCCGGCCUGAGAGGGUGACCGGCCACAUUGGGACUGAGAUACGGCCCAGACUCCUACGGGAGGCAGCAGUGGGGAAUAUUGCACAAUGGGCGGAAGCCUGAUGCAGCAACGCCGCGUGCGGGAUGACGGCCUUCGGGUUGUAAACCGCUUUCGCCUGUGACGAAGCGUGAGUGACGGUAAUGGGUAAAGAAGCACCGGCUAACUACGUG
This 468-nucleotide ribosomal RNA is filed under the name uncultured bacterium. RNAcentral describes it as "partial 16S ribosomal RNA". It matches the Rfam family "Bacterial small subunit ribosomal RNA", at positions 28 to 507 of the family's 1533-position model. The record is from RNAcentral.